This 291-nucleotide unclassified non-coding RNA is filed under the name plant metagenome. RNAcentral's name for it is "partial contains small subunit ribosomal RNA, internal transcribed spacer 1, and 5.8S ribosomal RNA". The record is from RNAcentral.
UUUCCGUAGGUGAACCUGCGGAAGGAUCAUUAAUGAGUUGUCAUGGGGUUCGAUGCUGGCAGCCAGUUUUUGGAUGCAUGUGCUUGCCCUAACAAUUAUCUUCUUCCAAACACCUGUGCACAUUUUUGAGGGAGUCUUGAGUUGGUUGCCGCUCUUGGGUGAUUUUCUCACAUUCCCUUAAAUCAUUAUACGCUAUUAACAAUGUUGAACGUGCUCUGUGCCGCAAGGCCAUUAAUAUAAUACAACUUUUAACAACGGAUCUCUUGGCUCUCGCAUCGUGAAGAACGCAGC